GAUGAACGCUGGCGGCGUGCCUAAUACAUGCAAGUCGAGCGAACAGACGAGGAGCUUGCUCCUUUGACGUUAGCGGCGGACGGGUGAGUAACACGUGGGUAACCUACCUAUAAGACUGGGAUAACUUCGGGAAACCGGAGCUAAUACCGGAUAAUAUUUCGAACCGCAUGGUUCGAUAGUGAAAGAUGGCCCUGCUAUCACUUAUAGAUGGACCUGCGCCGUAUUAGCUAGUUGGUAAGGUAACGGCUUACCAAGGCAACGAUACGUAGCCGACCUGAGAGGGUGAUCGGCCACACUGGAACUGAGACACGGUCCAGACUCCUACGGGAGGCAGCAGUAGGGAAUCUUCCGCAAUGGGCGAAAGCCUGACGGAGCAACGCCGCGUGAGUGAUGAAGGUCUUCGGAUCGUAAAACUCUGUUAUUAGGGAAGAACAAACGUGUAAGUAACUGUGCACGUCUUGACGGUACCUAAUCAGAAAGCCACGGCUAACUACGUGCCAGCAGCCGCGGUAAUACGUAGGUGGCAAGCGUUAUCCGGAAUUAUUGGGCGUAAAGCGCGCGUAGGCGGUUUUUUAAGUCUGAUGUGAAAGCCCACGGCUCAACCGUGGAGGGUCAUUGGAAACUGGAAAACUUGAGUGCAGAAGAGGAAAGUGGAAUUCCAUGUGUAGCGGUGAAAUGCGCAGAGAUAUGGAGGAACACCAGUGGCGAAGGCGACUUUCUGGUCUGUAACUGACGCUGAUGUGCGAAAGCGUGGGGAUCAAACAGGAUUAGAUACCCUGGUAGUCCACGCCGUAAACGAUGAGUGCUAAGUGUUAGGGGGUUUCCGCCCCUUAGUGCUGCAGCUAACGCAUUAAGCACUCCGCCUGGGGAGUACGACCGCAAGGUUAAAACUCAAAUGAAUUGACGGGGACCCGCACAAGCGGUGGAGCAUGUGGUUUAAUUCGAAGCAACGCGAAGAACCUUACCAAAUCUUGACAUCCUUUGACCCUUCUAGAGAUAGAAGUUUCCCCUUCGGGGGACAAAGUGACAGGUGGUGCAUGGUUGUCGUCAGCUCGUGUCGUGAGAUGUUGGGUUAAGUCCCGCAACGAGCGCAACCCUUAAGCUUAGUUGCCAUCAUUAAGUUGGGCACUCUAAGUUGACUGCCGGUGACAAACCGGAGGAAGGUGGGGAUGACGUCAAAUCAUCAUGCCCCUUAUGAUUUGGGCUACACACGUGCUACAAUGGACAAUACAAAGGGCAGCGAAACCGCGAGGUCAAGCAAAUCCCAUAAAGUUGUUCUCAGUUCGGAUUGUAGUCUGCAACUCGACUACAUGAAGCUGGAAUCGCUAGUAAUCGUAGAUCAGCAUGCUACGGUGAAUACGUUCCCGGGUCU
Molecule: ribosomal RNA, 1372 nt
Filed under: uncultured bacterium
Lineage: Bacteria
Description: bacterial SSU rRNA
Rfam family: Bacterial small subunit ribosomal RNA
Source: RNAcentral